Molecule: ribosomal RNA, 511 nt
Filed under: Lactobacillus gasseri
Lineage: Bacteria; Bacillati; Bacillota; Bacilli; Lactobacillales; Lactobacillaceae
Description: bacterial SSU rRNA
Rfam family: Bacterial small subunit ribosomal RNA
Source: RNAcentral
GAACGCUGGCGGCGUGCCUAAUACAUGCAAGUCGAGCGAGCUUGCCUAGAUGAAUUUGGUGCUUGCACCAAAUGAAACUAGAUACAAGCGAGCGGCGGACGGGUGAGUAACACGUGGGUAACCUGCCCAAGAGACUGGGAUAACACCUGGAAACAGAUGCUAAUACCGGAUAACAACACUAGACGCAUGUCUAGAGUUUAAAAGAUGGUUCUGCUAUCACUCUUGGAUGGACCUGCGGUGCAUUAGCUAGUUGGUAAGGUAACGGCUUACCAAGGCAAUGAUGCAUAGCCGAGUUGAGAGACUGAUCGGCCACAUUGGGACUGAGACACGGCCCAAACUCCUACGGGAGGCAGCAGUAGGGAAUCUUCCACAAUGGACGCAAGUCUGAUGGAGCAACGCCGCGUGAGUGAAGAAGGGUUUCGGCUCGUAAAGCUCUGUUGGUAGUGAAGAAAGAUAGAGGUAGUAACUGGCCUUUAUUUGACGGUAAUUACUUAGAAAGUCACGGCUAACU